This 1226-nucleotide ribosomal RNA is filed under the name metagenome. RNAcentral describes it as "SSU rRNA". It matches the Rfam family "Eukaryotic small subunit ribosomal RNA", at positions 493 to 1777 of the family's 1831-position model. The record is from RNAcentral.
CUCAUGGUUUCACGGUAUUGCAAUGAGAACAAUUUAAAACCCUUAGCGAGAAUCAAGUGGAGGACAAGUCUGGUGCCAGCACCGCGGUAAUUCCAGCUCCACUAGCGUAUAUUAAAGUUGUUGCAGUUAAAAAGCUCGUAGUUGAACCUCUGUCUGGGGCUAGUUUUGGCUUUGGUCAGGCUAGUUCUAGGCACCCGCCUACAAGACUUAGAGGGCAUUCAGUUGUUCACUAGGAGGAGUAGGCAUUUUACUUUGAAAAAAUUAGAGUGUUUAAGGCAGGCAAUCGCCCGCAUAUAUUAGCAUGGAAUAAUAGAAUAGGACACUUUUCCAUUUCGUUGGUUAUUGGAAUCGUGUAAUGAUUAAUAGGGACAGUUGUGGGCAUUUGUAUUUAAUUGUCAGAGGUGAAAUUCUUGGAUUUAUUAAAGACAAACUAACGCGAAAGCAUUUGCCAAGGAUGUUUUCAUUAAUCAAGAACGAAAGUUAGGGGAUCAAAGACGAUCAGAUACCGUCCUAGUCUUAACUAUAAACUAUUCCGACUCAAUGUUUGACUGGCUUAUAUAACCAGUUGAGCGUUGUAUGAGAAAUCAAGGUCUUUAGGUUCUGGGGGGAGUAUGGUUGCAAAGCUGAAACUUAAAGGAAUUGUCGGAAGAGCACAACCAGGAGUGGAUUCUGCGGCUUAAUUUGACUCAACACGGGGAAACUUACCAGGUUAAAACAAUAGUGGGAUUGACAGUUUGAGAGCGCUUUCUUGAUUGGUUGGGUGGUGGUGCAUGGCCGUUCUUAGUUGGUGGAGUGAUUUGUCUGCUUAAUUGCGUUAACGAACGAGACCUUAACCUGCUUACUAGACUGGCGAUCAUCAAUCGUUAGCUCUUCUUAGAGGGACUUUGGUUGUUUUAACUCCAAGGAAGUUUGAGGCAAUAACAGGUCUGUGAUGCCCUUAGAUAUCCUGGGCCGCACGCGUCAUACAAUGACUAGUUCAGAAAGUUUUCCCCUGACCCGAAAGGGGAUGGGUAAUCUUGAUAAUACUAGUCGUGUUAGGGAUCGAUCUUUGCAAUUAUAGAUCUUGAACGAGGAAUUCCUAGUAAGUGCGGUUCAUCAGACCGUACUGAUUACGUCCCUGCUCUUUGUACACACCGCCCGUCGCUUCUACCGAGUGGGUGGUCCGGUGAGAUAAUUGAACUUCGCAGGUAACUGAGAGGAAAGAUUAUCAAACCCAUCCACCUCGA